Molecule: long non-coding RNA, 215 nt
Filed under: Medicago truncatula (barrel medic)
Lineage: Eukaryota; Viridiplantae; Streptophyta; Magnoliopsida; Fabales; Fabaceae
Description: lncRNA gene39666
Source: RNAcentral
AUAGUUGGGGACCCAAUCUCAUACGGUUGUUAUUCCCAUGAUUUGAUUGUUUUAUAACGGUCAUUGUUGGGGUUGAUGUUAUUCAUUACAAGCGAUUCCAUUUUCAUGUAAAUGCUUGUAUUGUUAUGAGCGACUUCUUCCUCAAUAAUGACUGUAUAUAAUUAAACCAAUUUAAAAUUUCAAACCUUCAUUGUUGAGAAGAAAUUACUCUAGGG